GUCCACACUGUAACGUUGAUGACUCGAUGUUGGCGAUACACAGCCAGCGUCCAAGAGCAAUCGUUAAGUCAUCCACCUGGGAGUACGCCGGCAACGGUGAACUCAAAGGAAUUGACGGGGUCCGCACAAGCGGUGGAGCAUGUGGUUUAAUUCGAUGAUACGCGAGGAACCUUACCUGGGCUAGAAUGCCCUUGACGGGUACAGAGAUGUAUCGUUCCGCAAGGACAAGGAGCAAAGGUGCUGCAUGGCUGUCGU
This 255-nucleotide ribosomal RNA is filed under the name uncultured bacterium. RNAcentral's name for it is "partial 16S ribosomal RNA". It matches the Rfam family "Bacterial small subunit ribosomal RNA", at positions 793 to 1055 of the family's 1533-position model. The record is from RNAcentral.